RNAcentral lists this ribosomal RNA (462 nucleotides) under Cladosporium herbarum. RNAcentral's name for it is "eukaryotic LSU rRNA". The stretch from base 109 to 262 matches the Rfam family "5.8S ribosomal RNA". The record is from RNAcentral. Lineage: Eukaryota; Fungi; Ascomycota; Dothideomycetes; Cladosporiales; Cladosporiaceae.
CGACUCUGUUGCCUCCGGGGCGACCCUGCCUUCGGGCGGGGGCUCCGGGUGGACACUUCAAACUCUUGCGUAACUUUGCAGUCUGAGUAAACUUAAUUAAUAAAUUAAAACUUUUAACAACGGAUCUCUUGGUUCUGGCAUCGAUGAAGAACGCAGCGAAAUGCGAUAAGUAAUGUGAAUUGCAGAAUUCAGUGAAUCAUCGAAUCUUUGAACGCACAUUGCGCCCCCUGGUAUUCCGGGGGGCAUGCCUGUUCGAGCGUCAUUUCACCACUCAAGCCUCGCUUGGUAUUGGGCAACGCGGUCCGCCGCGUGCCUCAAAUCGUCCGGCUGGGUCUUCUGUCCCCUAAGCGUUGUGGAAACUAUUCGCUAAAGGGUGUUCGGGAGGCUACGCCGUAAAACAACCCCAUUUCUAAGGUUGACCUCGGAUCAGGUAGGGAUACCCGCUGAACUUAAGCAUAUCAU